Molecule: ribosomal RNA, 465 nt
Filed under: uncultured bacterium
Lineage: Bacteria
Description: partial 16S ribosomal RNA
Rfam family: Bacterial small subunit ribosomal RNA
Source: RNAcentral
CCUACGGGGGGCAGCAGUAGGGAAUCUUCCACAAUGGGCGAAAGCCUGAUGGAGCAACGCCGCGUGGGUGAAGAAGGUCUUCGGAUCGUAAAACCCUGUUGUUAGAGAAGAAAGGGCGUGAGAGUAACUGUUCACGUUUCGACGGUAUCUAACCAGAAAGCCACGGCUAACUACGUGCCAGCAGCCGCGGUAAUACGUAGGUGGCAAGCGUUAUCCGGAUUUAUUGGGCGUAAAGGGAACGCAGGCGGUCUUUUAAGUCUGAUGUGAAAGCCUUCGGCUUAACCGGAGUAGUGCAUUGGAAACUGGGAGACUUGAGUGCAGAAGAGGAGAGUGGAACUCGAUGUGUAGCGGUGAAAUGCGUAGAUAUAAGGAAGAACACCAGUGGCGAAAGCAGCUUUCUGGUCUGUAACUGACGCUGAGGUUCGAAAGCGUGGGUAGCAAACAGGAUUAGAUACCCGAGUAGUC